Molecule: long non-coding RNA, 2086 nt
Organism: Homo sapiens (human)
Lineage: Eukaryota; Metazoa; Chordata; Mammalia; Primates; Hominidae
Gene: C2orf83
Product: folate transporter-like protein C2orf83
Source: Ensembl
AUCCCACGGAAUGUUAAAAUACAUUGCACCAUCCCAUUUGUCUAUUUCUUCAGUCUAUCUCUGCUAAAAGAGCUUUCAGAAAGAAACUGUCAAUAGAAACCUGGGCUUCCUCAGCAGACCAAAGCCUUGAGAAGAACACAAUUCGCUGUUUUGUAUUUGAAUGCGCAUGUGUGUGUCCUUUUAAAACUCUUUCCAUUUGUACAAUGACAGAUUUCAGAUUGGAGUUAAUCUGAGCAUGGAAGACUAUGCCCUGACGUUUGGAAUUAAUCCCUUCAUUGCCUUGAUGAUUCAACCCAUCGUGACGAUGACUGUGGUUGACAACCAAGGACUGGGGCUUCCUGUUGACAUUCAGCACAAAGCAAAGCCCUCGCCAAAAGCCAGCCAGAUGCUGCCACCUGAUCUUGGACCUCCCAGCUUCCAGAACUGCUUCACCUGUAGAACUGCCCCCUCCCUUGUGAUGGUUCUCAGCUGGAAGAGCGGGGUCAGGAGAGAAGUGCCAGUUCAUCCAUCUUACGCUAAGUAUUAAGUCCAUCUGAGAAACUAGAGCCUUGGGACCCAGGGAUGAGGAAACUUACCGUACAGACAUGCGGGCUGACCUUCAUUCACCCUGCGGGCCAUGGCCUCUGCCAUCCAACUGCAGAGGCUUCAGCCGAAACUCUCUCCAGCACUGCCCUAAACAGACCAAGUGUGAGGGAGGGAGCAUGUAAUGAAAAGUCCACAGAGAACAAGAAGCCACAAGAUUCGGUGCUCUGGAGCCAUUCUAGAUGGUUUCAGGGGAACUAGCUUCCCACCUCUGACAGGGAUACCAUGGCAAAUACCACUCUUUGCCUAGGAUUAUAAUUCUUUGUGCACAAUGCAUCCCAUCCCAAAGACAGUCCACAGCAGGACUUGCUCCAUCUCUGAACUGGUCUUACCCCCUUAAACCUGCCUUUAUAUCUAGGAGUUUCUUUAUUUUAUUUUAUUUUUUUGAGACAGAGUCUCGCUCCAUUGCCCAGGCUGGACUGCAGCGGCGUGAUCUCAGCUCACUGCAACCUCCACCUCCUGGGUUCAAGUGAUUCUUGUGCCUCAGCCUCCCAAGUAGCUGGGAUUAAAGGCACGUGCCACCAUGACUGGCCAAUUUUUAUAUUUUUAGUAGAGAUGAGGUUUCACCAUGUUGGCCAGGCUGGUCUCAAACUCUUGACUUCAAGUGAUCCGCCCGCCUCAGCCUCCCAAAGUGCUGGGAUUACAGGUGUGAGCCACCAGGCCCAGCCUAUAUCUAGGAGUCUCUUGAUGAGCAUUGGUCGACAGAAAGAAGUCUCUUCUAAAAAUUGUUAAUGCUUUUAUAGACUACUCAUAGUCUGAGUCAUAAAACAUCAUUUGCCUUUCAAUUUAUACCUUCCAAGUGAAUAUGAUUAUUGAGGAUUAUCUAAUUAUUAUCUACGUUUCUCUCUAGAUAUAAAAAACACCAUAGAUCCUAUACACACAAAAAUGGUUUUUCUAUCAGAAAUGGACUCACUCGCCUGGCAAAAGGACACAGAUUAGAUUAUUCUAAUCUCAAGGCCCCUUAGGCUUAUGAAUUCAAAAAAAAAAAUAGAAGAAAUGAACAAAAACUUAAAUCACAGUUUGUUAUUAAGUAAUAUCUGAAAUGAAUUAGAAAGAAACCAUAAGCCUUAACAAUACUCCAAUCACAGUUAAAUUAAUUUAGACAGAAAAGCAAAUAGCAAUUGACUUGAAAAUAAGAAGUGGAGCCGAAGGUGGAUACAAGAAAUCCAGGAGGGCUAAGAUAAAUCCCAAAUCCAAUGUUCAUCAAUGCCUACACAUUCAGUACAACCUGAUGGCAUUAAUUCUGUGGUUGGGGAAAUGUGAAAGUGAAAUCGAUAAUACCACAGUUCUAAAUGUGCACUGUUGGCUGAACUUAUGGUGUGGUGGGGGGUGGUAAAAAUUAGGCUUCUAAGAAAGGAUGGGACUCUGCCCUCCAGGCAAGGAGUAAAUGGCCCCAGCAGAUGGAAAACUAAAGCAAAUGUAAUCACCUGCAUUUUGAAAAUAGGUGUGUUUCUGAGAAUUUGUUUGAAUUAGUUCUUUGUAAAUAAAACAGGAUUUUGAAUGC